CCCUUCUUUGAUUGAAGUCUUAAAAAAAUUACUGAAAGUGAUCCUUCCCUUUUUAAGAACUAGAAAAACAAAUUUUGAGUCACUUACCUAUGAACGACUUUUAAUAAAUUAAAACUCAUUUUAUACUAAACUUUAUUGUCUUUUACAGCAGACAAAUUCAGUAUUGCGAGAAUUGUGGGAAAGAAAAUGCAUGUAAAUAUAUCGGAAUGUGUGAAUAGACCGGUAAUAUAGAACAAGCAAGAUGAAUAUUUCUCCUGUGUUACCUUUGAACUAUUAACAAGUAGAUUAAAACAAAAUGUAUAUUAUUUACUUUCGUUGUACUCCACGAGUAAUGGUAUAGAAAUUUUACAUAAAUAUGAAAAUGCAUGUACAUUUCUAUCUUAUCAAACUUUUCUCUAAGUUGAUAUAUAGUGUAUUCCUCUCAUCCAAUGAAAACGGUACACUUUUGUACAGAUAAAGGCAACAGUAGUAUACCGGAGUUCAACUGCCAUUAAACGAUUGAGACAAAACGAAUACGGGUUACAAACUAAAACCGAGGGAAACACAUCGACCAUAGGAGGACAACAAAGGACUAAUAGGAGCACUGAAAUGCAAACUCAAACAUACAUUGAAACGAACAAUUUUAUACCAACUGCCAUAUUCCUGACAAAAAAAGGGGGGUGGGGGUGAUAUCAAAUGGAAAACCAAAAGUUCUGAAUAUGUUGAGUAAAGAUUCAAAAACGUUAUCAAAAUUACUGGAAAAAAACGUUAUAUUGUUUUUUUAUUCCAAAAUUCUAAUCUGCAUUUGCAAUAAAAGCUAUAUUCUUGAGUAGCCAACUGAUAAGUAAAUAAAAGCAGAAUUAUUUUACUGCAAGAAAUGAAGGAUAAGUUUCCUACAACUUUCAAAUUCAAGGGCAUAAUUUAUUGCGACCCUUUUUCGUAUGCAACCGGAUGUGACGUACUAUGCUUUGGUGGUAUUAAAUCUACACAGUUUCGAGAUUUUGCAUGUUUUACUUAAUUAUUUUCCUACAUUUAAUAGCUGUUGUUUUGUUGAAAAAUUGGAAAUUAGCUGUCAAAUUUUACUCUCCUAUGUCAAGUUGCAAUACAUUAGAUGAUUUCCUCCAAGGAGGUAUAGGUAAAAAUUUAAAAAAACAAAUGUUUAUGUAAAAAGAAACAAAAUAACGACAAAUUCUCAAAUACUCCUGUUGUCAAAAUAAUAAACGUAUAUUUCUAUAUACAUUGAUAUAGAACAAAUCAGUAAAAAUCGUUUUUUAUUUAACUUUGGUAAAAAUGACAAAUAGGUUGAUAGUUAUUAAUUACUAAGAAAAUUUACCAAUUUAAAAGACAUAAUGUACAAUUUUAUUCGUCUUUAAAAAGUUAAAUCAAAAAUAUACCUCAUCUUCUUAUAUCUAUAAACACCAAGGAAAAUUCAAAAUGGAAAGUCCCUCAUCAAAUUUCAAAAUCAAACGCUAAAGUGCAACAAACAAAUGGAUAACAACUGUCAUAUUUUUGACUUGGUAUAGGCUUUUUCUUAUGUAGAGAAUGAAGGAUCAAACCUGGUUUAAUAGCUAGCUGAACAUCUCACUUGUUUGACAGUCGCAUCAAAUUCCGUUAAAAUUGACAGCGAUAUGUGAACAAAACAAACAGACAAAACAGGUAAAAAUGUCAAAAAUAGGGAUACAGCAAUCAACAUUGUGUGAUAAUCUUAAUCACAAUAAAAACAAUGAAAUAUGUAACAAAGAAACACAUAUAUGACAACACAUUAAAUUCAUUUGUCUAUGUGUGAUUUCCAAAUUUUCUGUGUUCUUUAUAAUUUUUUCUCGUUGUUUUUAGAUCUGUCAUCCUUUUUUCGUGGAAUACAAUUUUUAUUUAGUGUUAAAGUCAUAUGAAACUUCAAAUUAAAAAAAAAAAUAUGCAUAUAUUUUUUUUUUAACUAAAUGGCUAGUGUUUAUUAUAAAACUUAUGUCCAUAUGCUAUUUCUCAAGAAAUUUUUAUAAUUUGUCCAAAUUUAGAAAAAAGUUUACUUUUUUAUAAUUGGUUGCUUCCAGGAAACAAUUCGCCACAUGUUUUCCGUAUGCAGCGUGACCUUUCUCGUAAAAAUCCGGUGAUCGCAAUACGCAAGUGCGAAUGGAAAACCAUACGUAAACAUCUCUCCGUCAUCAAGAUAAACUAUAUCUUAUUGUACCUGUUAUACACGUGCUUACCUGAAUAUCCAUGCUUCUUUGUUGAAUGUUUACAAACGGAUGACAAUCGUUAAACUUCGGCUUCAAAACACGACCAUUAAUUAGCUGCCAUAUUUUCACAACAACACUGACCGAUUGAAACAUAUUUUUACGAUUAUACGAAAUUUAUGCAAAAUAAAAUGAGAAAAUCGUGCACAGAAGACUAAGUUUAUGAUAUAUGUAUGCAUUGGUUCUAGAAUUGGAUUAACAUAAUUUUUCACCAGUCACUCGUUUCAUAUGACAUUUUAACAACAAAAAUUCUUUCAGUAAAAGACAAUAUAAUUAUAAUUGUAAUAGAUUUAUAAAAUGUGUAUUUAACAUAGAUGCUUCACGUUGAAUUAAAAUAGAUUUGAUUUAAUUAUAGUUUUUAAGAAUACAAAUAUAAUGGUUAUGCAUUAAGGGAGCUGUCAGUGUACGAAUCAAAACACUUGUUUGAAUUAAGGGACACAAAUUAUCCUUUUUUACAAUACAAGAUUUGUUUUUUGUA
Long non-coding RNA from Mytilus californianus (California mussel), 2688 nucleotides. RefSeq lists it as uncharacterized. The transcript has 3 exons. The record is from RefSeq and is a predicted model, not a curated record. Lineage: Eukaryota; Metazoa; Mollusca; Bivalvia; Mytilida; Mytilidae.